GAUGAACGCUGGCGGCGUGCCUAAUACAUGCAAGUCGAGCGAAUGGAUUAAGAGCUUGCUCUUAUGAAGUUAGCGGCGGACGGGUGAGUAACACGUGGGUAACCUGCCCAUAAGACUGGGAUAGCUCCGGGAAACCGGGGCUAAUACUGGAUAACAUUUUGAACCGCAUGGUUCGAAAUUGAAAGGCGGCUUCGGCUGUCACUUAUGGAUGGACCCGCGUCGCAUUAGCUAGUUGGUGAGGUAACGGCUCACCAAGGCAACGAUGCGUAGCCGACCUGGGGGGGUGAUCGGCCACACUGGGACUGAGACACGGCCCAGACUCCUACGGGAGGCAGCAGUAGGGAAUCUUCCGCAAUGGACGAAAGUCUGACGGAGCAACGCCGCGUGAGUGAUGAAGGCUUUCGGGUCGUAAAACUCUGUUGUUAGGGAAGAACAAGUGCUAGUUGAAUAAGCUGGCACCUUGACGGUACCUAACCAGAAAGCCACGGCUAACUACGUGCCAGCCGCCGCGGUAA
Molecule: ribosomal RNA, 515 nt
Filed under: uncultured bacterium
Lineage: Bacteria
Description: partial 16S ribosomal RNA
Rfam family: Bacterial small subunit ribosomal RNA
Source: RNAcentral